RNAcentral lists this ribosomal RNA (110 nucleotides) under Aeromonas media. RNAcentral describes it as "partial 16S ribosomal RNA". It matches the Rfam family "Bacterial small subunit ribosomal RNA", at positions 1 to 101 of the family's 1533-position model. RNAcentral also lists the same sequence under 2 other names. Lineage: Bacteria; Pseudomonadati; Pseudomonadota; Gammaproteobacteria; Aeromonadales; Aeromonadaceae. The record is from RNAcentral.
AAAUUGAAGAGUUUGAUCAUGGCUCAGAUUGAACGCUGGCGGCAGGCCUAACACAUGCAAGUCGAGCGGCAGCGGGAAAGUAGCUUGCUACUUUUGCCGGCGAGCGGCGG